This 253-nucleotide ribosomal RNA is filed under the name uncultured bacterium. RNAcentral describes it as "partial 16S ribosomal RNA". It matches the Rfam family "Bacterial small subunit ribosomal RNA", at positions 524 to 776 of the family's 1533-position model. The record is from RNAcentral.
UACGGAGGGGGCUAGCGUUGUUCGGAAUUACUGGGCGUAAAGCGCGCGUAGGCGGACCUGCAAGUCGGGGGUGAAAGCCCGGGGCUCAACCUCGGAACUGCCUUCGAUACUGCGGGUCUCGAGUCCGGGAGAGGUGAGUGGAAUUCCUAGUGUAGAGGUGAAAUUCGUAGAUAUUAGGAAGAACACCAGUGGCGAAGGCGGCUCACUGGCCCGGUACUGACGCUGAGGCGCGAAAGCGUGGGGAGCAAACAGG